Molecule: long non-coding RNA, 3800 nt
Organism: Capsicum annuum
Lineage: Eukaryota; Viridiplantae; Streptophyta; Magnoliopsida; Solanales; Solanaceae
Exons: 3
Source: RefSeq, a predicted model, not a curated record
AUAUAACAUAAAAUUGAUAUAUUAGAGAGAGCAUAAAGAAAUUGUAAAACCGUUUUCCUUUCUAUGUAAGUUGAUACUUUUUUAUUUAUUACAUAAAAAAAAAUAACUAAGUCAUAAUUUAGCUUUUUCAGAUGUUCAACAGUCAAAUCUGGUGUCAGAUACAACAAAAAAAUAAGAUUCAUUAAUAACAUGGAAAUGUGUAUAUUUGAUGAAUAUGAAGAAGAAGAAAAAAACACAGAAGUUAAAAAAAAGUUGAACUAAAUUAAUUUGUUAUCAAAUACAAAUAAAAAAGUAUAAUGAAAUUCAAUGUUUACCUUUGAUGAUCUUCAAGUUGAAGCAAAAUAAAAUCUUCAAUGUUUACACAGAUUUUGAAUUGUAUAAGAAACCAAAAGCAAGAGAGAAACAAGUCUUAUAAAUGGAAUGAUUAGUUUAAGUCAAGGUCUUAAAGGAAUAAAGGAAAAAGAAGCAAAUAUCUCUUUUAAAAAAGAAAAAGUGAAAAUAAUUGUGUUAGAAAGAUUGUUUAUUAAGAAAAUAAACACAUCCUAAUUAUCACGAGUUGAUACGUUAACUAUUCAUUAUGAAAAAAGGCUUAAAUAUGCCAUCAAAUUAUUAGAAAUAAUUUAUUUAUGUCGUCCGUUCUAAGUUUAACUCAUUUAUGUGUCCGCCUUUAAAAGUUUGGGUUCAUUUAUGACACUAUUGUAAUAAAUUGAUUCAUUCAUGCCAUUAUUUUAUAAUAGUGAUUUUGUAAAAUUAUUUUUGUCGUGUGACAUUUUACUAGAAGUCUACGUCAUCAAAUUUAAAUCAAAUAUAAGCAAAUACAGAAAAUAUCCUUGGCACCUCUGGAACAAACGCUCAAAUCUGAUCUCAGCUGGCAAGGAAAUGUCAUGUAUUUAAGGGAAUCACACAUCAGAGGAUCAUCAUGCUGACGGAAGUAGUAUGUGUUAGUUCUUUCAUGACACUAAGAAGUAUUUUAUGGCAAUUGUAUAUCUUGAUGGAUCUUUGCAUUAGAAGAAGGGAUAAAAUGAGUUGGGUCAAACAAAUUGGGUUCCUUGUUUCAGUUCAUUGAUCGUUGAGAUGUAGUGAGUAUUGAUAGUGCUUUUGCAAUAUUGUAUUUAUUUUGAUCUCUGAUAUGGUGAAGCAUUUGGUAGUUGAAGAAGUGGGAGGCUUUUGGAUAAUUAACUGAUGCUAAGGCCGAAGAUAAUAAAUCUCAAUUAUCUUUUUGUGUUUUCAAACCAACCAUUAAUGCAACAUGAUUGGUACUUUUAUGACGUCAAUGUGACACUGUCUUUAUGGCUGCUGGAUAGGACUUCCGAGAAGAUAUCGGAGAAAGCUUGACAGUUGUUUUACUGCUUCUUCUAAAUGCGACAAAUGAUAAUUUCUCUAAGAGCCUUGUGUUGCACAGGUACCAGGAUGGUGGUCGACUAUCAGAUCAGCAGAUGACGUUGCUGCAAUAUCAACAAGAAAAUUACCCUUUUUAAGUGAGGAGGUACACAGUUAUUAAAAACUUCUGAGAUCUUACUGGCAAUUCACUUCCCAAGCUUUUAGGGGUGGGGAGAGGGUAGAAACGGGACUUUGGUCUGCUUCGGUUUUAUUAGUUGGUGAAUCAAGUACCUAAUAGUUGUGGGAAAAAAGAUCUCGAGAAACAUAAACUGACAAAAUCUUAGUGGAAGUAGCAUCUAUUUAAGGUGCUAUCUAGUUUUUCUGUCCUUAUAGUAGGGGCACAAAAGCUUUCCGUGAUUCUAUCAGUUCGACUAAUAUCAGCAACAACAAUAUCAACAACACACCCAGUGUAGUCCCACAAGUGGGGUGUGGGGUCGAUAUUGUGUAUACAGAUUUUUCCCGUAUCUUGGGAGAUAGAAAGACUGUUUCCGAUAGACCCUCGGCUCGAGAAAAUGCCAGAGUGGAGAAACCAAGACAAAAAUUACACAAGGCAUGACAAAGCAUACUGAAAAGGGAACAAUAACUACAACAAAAUAAUACGAUAAAUGAACUACAACGGACAAUAUAUAGCAGUAGAAAUCAAAGGAACAAAGGCCUACAGGAGUAAUACUACAGCUACUAGUAUGUGAGGAUAAACGAGACUACACUCAGCUACCUACCAACCUUCCAUGCUAAUCCUUGUCCUCCAUAAUCUCCUAUCUAUGGUCAUGUUAGGAUGGAGCUAUGCUAUGUCCUGUUUAAUCACCUCACCUUAGUAUUUUUUCGGUCUACCUCUACCUCUCCCAAAACCAUUCAUGGCCAAAAAGGGGAAGAAUAUCAAAAAGAAGAAAUAUCAUAUAUGCUGAGAACAAUAUUGCAUACACCAGCACUCACAUCCUUAAUGAUUUUCUCGAGAAUUUAUUUUCUUAAAGAAAAAUUGGUAACUGUAUAAUAUGGUACUGCUGAUAAUGAGAUCAGCCAUCUUGUGCAGUCAUUAAUCACUAGAAUCUGGGAUUAAGUUUUGAAAGUGAUGAAGUUAACGACUCGGCUUUGUCCUUUUUUCAAUUCUAACAGACAUAUGGUUCUGAAUAGUACAAGUGCAAUUGAAUGCCUGUUUUGUGGGCUUCCUUUUGAAUGAGAUUCUUCUCUUCUACUAAAUACUUGUGGGUUUCAGAUGAAUCAAUUGCAAUCUGAGCUGAGGCUUGCUCGAUAUCGGCCUAAUAAAAGUGAACCAUUUUGAAAGAAUUUAGCACAUUCUUCUGUAUUUCAUGGCUCCUGGCAAUACUAAGAUCCCACAAGUGGUGUCCGGGGAGGUUUUGGGUGGGGGGUACGCAGACCUUAUCCCAAUAUCUUGACAAUUAAUCAUUUAUCGGCCUAACAAAAUUGGCCUGUUUUUUGAAAAAAUUGGUACACUUAUCAAUCUGUACUAUUACUGUUUUUGUUAUUGUCUGAUAUUUCUUGUACUUCCGUUACUUCUUUUCUGGACAAUUUUGGACUGUUUUUCUUGAGCCGAGGGUCUAUCUGAAACAACCUCUCUACCUUUGAGGUAGCCUUAAGGUCUGCAUACACUCUACCCUCCUCGCACCCAACUUUGUGAGACUACACCGGGUAUGUUGUUGUAUUGAGCAGACUGUACUUUUGCUGGUAUAAGAGCCGUUGGUAGUAGUUAGUCGAUCACGACUAGGUAUGUUCUAUCUUCAUUGUUUUUUGUAUAGUAUUUGGACUCACACAGUAUCACUUGAUCCUGCCUUUUUUAUUUUUCGACGAAGAGUGCAUAACAUCUCUCUCUGAAACAGUAUGUAGAAGAAAACGAGAGACUCAGAGCUAUUCUGGGAGAAUGGAGCAACCGAGCAGCUAAGCUCGAACGUGCAUUGGAGCUGGAACGGAUGCCAAACUUGGAACUGCAGAAAAAAAUGACCACACUGAAAACUCAAACGCGUGAAUAGUUCAGCCCCACUAGCAAGGUUAGCAAGUGGUUACUUCUUUAGCAGUUGAGCAACAAACAUGCAUGAACCAUUUCAUGAAGUAUGUGUCCGGAUAGUCAAGAGUCUCGGUAGUUAACUCUCGGCCUCCCAGUCAAAAAACAACUUCGAUGAAGAGUUCAGGUGCUUUUGCAAAACCAUUCCUGGAAGAUAUAAUGGUCCUAUCUGCACACGUACAGAUUAAGCUCAAAACAAUAGUUUGCUUGAUGUGUACCAUCUUCAAGACUAUCAGCUUUGUAUAGUUUUUUACUCUAUUUAUCUCAUAUGUUUUUGGAAGAAAUUUUUGUUUCAACAAUUUGCUUUCACUGUAAAUGUGGCAUUUUAUGGCCAUAGGCAAAUCUUAGAAGGAUGGUGAUUUCCAAAGACAAUGUGCUCAACAUUCGAUGACAUCGAAAGAUC